Brassica napus (rape) is the source of this 1255-nucleotide long non-coding RNA. RefSeq lists it as uncharacterized. NCBI's taxonomy places the organism in Eukaryota, Viridiplantae, Streptophyta, Magnoliopsida, Brassicales, Brassicaceae. The transcript has 5 exons. The record is from RefSeq and is a predicted model, not a curated record.
AAUUAGAAUUCUGCGUUUCAUUAACAGUGUAUCGUGAUGGGCUUUCUCCGCGUAUCCGGCCCGAGAGGAUCGUCAAACCCUAAUUGCUAGAUUUGUUCAUCGUCUCUCCAUUCCUGCACAUGACGCCUGAGCUUCUGUCCAUGGUUGAAACCGUCGGAAGUCGGAGCUGUAACAUCGUGUUUAAUCCCACAUUCAAUGAUCCUUAUCUCUUCAAGACGGUGUUUCUCAAUCUAUAAAAAGGUACUCCUAUACCCAUAGAACAUCAGUUCAUGAAAAUCCUCAAUAAACAUAAUAUUUGCAAUAUAUAAUGGCUAAUUCACCUGUUUUUCCGGUGUCGAGCUGUGUUUGCUCCGAUUCUAGGAAGCUUGAUUCGAAGUCGACCCUCACGCCAACCAUCGUAAAUGUUCACCGUCUCGCCGCCGCUUUUAGGACUGUCUCAAGACUGGUUCAGUGUUCACACCAUAGCUCCUUGAUACAGAUGGUCUAAUCUUUGGAAUGGACGCCUGAGAAGAACCGAAAGUCAGCGCAUCCUAACAAUAUGGGCCUCUGCUAGAAGUGCAGAGUGCUGUAAAAGGGAAAGACAAAGAAAAGGGCAAGUAAUAAAGUGCUGAAAAUUGUAAUCGUUUAGAUCUUGAAGAGGGUGGACGGACUUUAGUACCGCUACAUCAUGGACAUCAUCAAAGAACUUGCUAAGGUGCUCAAAGAUGAUCUCACCCCAAGAAAGAAAUCUACAAAGCUAAUGAUCCAAACGAGCUCACCGGAUAAGCAGCAGCGGUAGAUGAAGGAGAGGAUGAGAAGAAAUAAGAACAUGGUAUAAAUUUUUGUUGUUUUGUUUGAGUCUGAACUGUGCAAAGCAUUUUUGUUUUUGGUAGCAAGAGGAAGAAGCUGCAUAGCCAGGUAGGUUUUAUGUAUGUCUAUACCAUUUAACAAAAAGUCUCCUUAGAUAACCGUCUGAUUUGUGAGGGUCUCUUUCGAACAAUAUUCAGUGGGAAUAAAUAAAGAAUAUGAUUGUCUUAUUAUAUAGGUUAUCAACUUAAACAACUACUCACUAAUUUAAUCGUCUCUCCCUUUCAUUACAGACUUUGUGGGCAAGACGUACUACUGUUAAACAUCAGACAAUAGCUUUAUGGUUUGCAUACAUGUUGGUAUCAGUAUCACCAAUAACUUUCAUAUUUCUUUUUCUCCAUGUUACAUCACCUGUUUUUAUUUAUUUCUUCAGUUCGCUUUUAAAUUAAAAUUGCGAUUUUUUGCGUUU